RNAcentral lists this long non-coding RNA (1726 nucleotides) under Citrus x clementina. RNAcentral's name for it is "Citrus clementina (C. clementina) long non-coding RNA (CCLE_LNC000106)". The record is from RNAcentral. Lineage: Eukaryota; Viridiplantae; Streptophyta; Magnoliopsida; Sapindales; Rutaceae.
AGAAUAACUUCAAAAUUAGUUAAUAAUAAAUUUAUUUUUAGCAGGAAAUUUUAGCGCCAUUAGUAUUUAUAACUACUGUAACUAAACAUUAGAAAUGCAUAAUUUCUAUAGUUUCAAAAAUAUAGUUUCAAUUACUGUUUUUUUUGGGUCAAAAAUAGAAAAAUAUUUUUAACUGUAACGAAGGUUAGAUGAAAAAACUAUUUAAAGGAUAAAAAAUUUUAAAUGACAACAUGGCCGCUAGGGGUGGACGCGGUUCGGUUCGGUUCGGUUUUUUACUAAAUUUUUCAUAAUCGUUCGAUUACGAUUAUUUUAAAAUCAUAAUCGUGAUUAAUCAAAUUACCGAAAUAAUCAAAUACUUGAUUAAUUGAAAUAAUUCGAUUCGAUUCGGUUCGAUUAUUUCGAUUAUGAGCCUAUUGAGCCUAUUUUGGGCUUUUUUAAAUUUAAAACCUUAAAUUAAUAAAUCUACCACAAAUAUAAAAAGUUAACAAAUAAAAAAUCAAAAUAUAUCUCAAAGUAUGUUCAAUAACACAUAAAAUAUUCAAAUAACAAGUUCAAAUCAAAAUAAAUUAUAAUCCCAAUUACUCCUCAUCAUAGUUUUCCAUUCUACACAAACACAUGCAAUCACCAAACAUAAACUUCAGUUUCAAAAGCAGUAAUACACAUCAGCAGUAAGCUAGAAGAUAUUUAUGGAUCAAUUAUUGUGUGUGGGAUACAGAGAAUUGACCCAAAAAAGAAAAAUGUUACACUAUUCAUGAAGAACUAUAAAGUUUGAACUUUGAAGCCAUCCGAAGCUUUAAUUUGUAUCCUAUUAGAAUAUUUGUAUCCUGCAAACGGCCAUUUGUUUAUUCUGCCGUGAAGACAAUAAAAAAGGCAAAACUUAUUAAUCAACGUGUUCUUCAAAUUUGCCUUCAAAGAAAACGAAACAGAUUUCUAAGAAUGCGUGUCAAUAGCACGUGAAAAGCCAAACACAAUCACAAGUUGUAGUAAACUUUUAGCAAAUUCUUGAAUUAUGUGGCACUUUACAAAUUAAAAUUAAAUAAACUUAAUCGAAACUUGAGUUUUGAUUUUAUUUAUGUUCAUCACCAAAUUGCACUGUUUUCUCCGAAUUGGAGUCGAAGAAGAAUCGUGGAAAUUGGUUAAAAGUCACUUAAAACCAAUGGCACCAGUAAAAACAAAGGGAGCUUUUAACGCCAGCAGCAGCAGCUGUUUGUUUGAUUACCUUUUCACGCCAGCAGCAGCUCAAGUUCUCUGAAAAAACAGCUCAAGCUCAAGCAGCUCAAGUUACCAGCAGCAGCUCACAACAGCAGUCAGAUGGCAGCAGGGGAGCACCGUGACAGCAGCAACAGUUGAUAGUAGGUGACAGCGGUAGGUGACAGUGGCAGCGGGGACGAGAGUCGGCGAUGAGCAGCGGUGGCAAAUCAGAUUCGUGAAGGAUGAGCAGCAGCAGCAGCGGGGACGAGAUUCCAGCGGUGAAGGUUUGUGAAGAUCAGAAGAUGAGAAGAAUCAAGAAUGUGUUAGAUUAGGGAUUGUGUAAAAAUCAAUUUGAGUUCGGUUGUUUCCUAUGGUCGGUUCGGUUUUUCGAUUUUUCACUAGUAUAACUUGUAAGGUUGGUCAAAGCAAAGCUAUAAGGGAAAGAAAAUAUAAUAUAAAAGUAUAGAUCAUCUAAAAGAAAAAAUAAUUGUAAGUUUUUUUUCUUUGUUUGCCAUUUUUUUAAUUAAACAUGAAC